UUAGGUGCCUAUAUCGGCGGUGUCCACCUCUUCCCAUUCCGAACAGAGAAGUUAAGCCCGCCAGAGCCGAUGGUACUGCAGUAACAUGUGGGAGAGUAGGUCGGUGCCAAAUCUUAAAUCAGCCCGGUAGUUUCAGUACUACCGGGCUUUUUUGUGCGUUA
RNAcentral lists this ribosomal RNA (161 nucleotides) under Arcticibacter pallidicorallinus. The record is from RNAcentral. Lineage: Bacteria; Pseudomonadati; Bacteroidota; Sphingobacteriia; Sphingobacteriales; Sphingobacteriaceae.